Saimiri boliviensis boliviensis (Bolivian squirrel monkey) is the source of this 145-nucleotide small nuclear RNA. Its record names the gene U4. It matches the Rfam family "U4 spliceosomal RNA". Rfam says of the family: U4 small nuclear RNA (U4 snRNA) is a component of the major U2-dependent spliceosome. Lineage: Eukaryota; Metazoa; Chordata; Mammalia; Primates; Cebidae. The record is from Ensembl.
AGCUUUGCACAGUGGCAGUAUCGUAGCCAAUGAGGUUUAUCUGAGGCACGAUUAUUGCUAACUGAAAACUUUUCUCGAUACCCCGCUAUGAUGAAUGACUUGAAAUACAGUUGGCAUUGGCAAUUUUCGACAGUCGCUAUGGAGA